Molecule: unclassified non-coding RNA, 4432 nt
Filed under: Hevea brasiliensis (rubber tree)
Lineage: Eukaryota; Viridiplantae; Streptophyta; Magnoliopsida; Malpighiales; Euphorbiaceae
Source: RNAcentral
UUUUUGAGAGAGCAAAACAAAUAUGAUACCAUUUAUAUAGAAACACGUCCAGCAAAGUCAGAUGCAAAUUCAAAAUAUUGUGUUGGCAACCCUACGGUUAGCCUAAUGCACACAACACAUCUAGCAUAUGUGACUAGUUCUAAUCUAAGCAAGAAUCUAGUAGAAAGAAAAAUACAACAUUAUAGAUGUCUUAUAAAAUUAUUUGAUGAUUUUACCAACAAAGUUAGAAAUCAUUACACCCUCAAUGAUCACCAAACUAACUUGGAGGUGUUAUGCCUAGUACCCAUAAUUUGUGCCAUACACUGAGCCAUAGCUUCCGGUAUGCCCAGCAUGUCCUGGAUUGGUUGGGGGGGAUGCAUACACAGAACCAUGAGCUGCAUAAGGAUUAUAUCCUUGGUCUGUGGACCCACCUGUUUGCGUUUGCGUUGGUGCUGCAGCUUCCGCCAUGAAAUUCUGCAACACAAAUCAUCAGAAUGCAUGUAACACAACCAACUGCAUGUACGUGAGAAUAUUGAAAAAAAAUCUGCAAUCCAGGCACCGGGGCCCCUGUAUUUUAUUCACAGAUAGAUAUAGUUGAGAAUAACAGCGGGCCAUAUCACUUUCUAUGUACUAAUGGCUUUGAUUGUCAGACUUCAAACAAGCACAUUAAAAUAUUAAAUAAUUGCUAAACUCUAUGUUCACACAGCCAAACAUUUGUGCGUUGGUUGAUUGCUCAAUGGUGACAGGAGAUCACAAAUCAAAAACACAAAAACAACCUCCUUACAAUUCAAGGGUAAGUGAUGCUGUUCGCGGGUUAUUUUGGGGUGUACUAUACAAGUAAGGCUACGAAUAUCUAACCUCUCCACCCAAAAUGUGGAAAACCUUCUGCAAUAGGAUACCCUUUUUCAAAUGUGCUUGCACAUUAUGCUAGAAAUUCAAACAUCAGUACACAUCACAAUGUUUCAUCUGCAGCUUCACACAACAAGUACAAUCAGUGAGCUUUGAAAUCUCUGCAUCUGCUCAAAUCAUCUAGACCGAGUCACAAUUACACAUCCAUCAUCCAUGUGCCCAAGAACAAAAAUAAAUAGUCUAAUGGUCCCUUUUUUUGUGCCCAAUGCAACUUCCUAGUCAAGAGUAAUGAAAAACUCCCUUAAUCAAUUUGAGACAUCUCAACUCAGUAAAAUUAGUUGGUAUAUCUUCAUUUAUGCUCUUAAGUCUAAAAAGUUAUUUUCUUUCUUCAUUGGAAGUAUGCAUAUAACUUGUAUGGACUUCAUAUGUUUCCAACAUGCCUAGCACACCCCACAGCCAUCCAACCUAUAAUUUAAAGGUCCUACUGCACAACUGCUGCAGCUAUCCAACCUAUUGUAGCAUCUGUGGUUGAUAGUUAGAAUCCUAGUAUUAACCUAAUGUAACUUUUGAACUUGUAGGAAAACACAGAAUAGUGAAAUUGAGGUUUAUCACAAGCAUAUGCACAUGCCAGUUAUCAAACACUUCUUUACAAAAUAGCAGUAUGAGAAACAAGAUAUGCCACAGGGACAUCUAGUAAAGAGAAUGGUAAGCUAUAUUGCCUGUAUCAACUGCUGAGCUGUUUGGACUUGGGAUGCAGUUCCACUGAUUUCAACUGUCAUUUCCCCAGGAACACCUCUAGUUUCUUGUAUGGUAACAGUUGCUCCACUAGCACGCCGAAUGUAGCUUAUACUUGCACCAGCUGUCCCAAUAACAGCAUCAGCAUAAGAUAAUGGAAUUUGCAUUUGCUGUGUAAUCUGUGUAAUCAUUGACGGAGCUGCUUGGGAAUUUGAUGAUGCAUGGACACCUAUGGGAGCUUCUCUUCCAUAGGCAGAUAUACCCUGAUGUGGUUGUUUUUCCAUUGUAGGAAGCAAGUCAGCUGGAGGAUAGUAAUUCUCAAUUUGCCGUGGAGGCGGCAUAUAUUGAGGAUUAUGUCCAAAACCAGGACCUCCACCCGCAUUUGGAGGCAGACCUUGAGGUGGACCCCAUGAUUGAUGAGGUGGCAUGUGCUCUAUCUGAGGAUUUGACAUUUGCAUAUGCAUUUCAAAUAAUGGAAUUAUACUACGAUCAACUAGAAACUUCCUUAAAUGAGAAGCAAUUAACUCCACAGCUUUGUGCACACUAGCUGGAUCCCCCAAUACUUCAACAACUCUAUCAUCUUGGAGAGCAAAAACUGGAAGGUCUUCUGCAGCAAUUUCCCAACAAAUAAAGACUAAAAUAUAAAGAUACGUAAUUCAGCAACUUGCACUAAAAUGGGACAGGCAAAGGCAACACAGCAGACUAAGUUGGCGAGUUAAAGGACAAUCAAAGAAAUAAUCAGAAUGACAGGCACUGAUAAAGAUAAUAGUGGUGGUCAAGUUGGCAGUGACACAUAGCACUGACCAUGGCACAGUUUUGAUGCCCUUAACUCCUUCCCUAACACUUGGCUAUAAAAAGUUUCUAGCAAGAUUAGAAUAAAAAAUUUGCAUAUUUUAGAUAUUUCCAUUUCUCUCAUACUGACCAAUAAUCAGAUCCUGAAAUUUGAAACCUAUCAGGGGUAAAACUAACGUUAACUUGGUGCCAGUUGUUGGCAACAAUUGUCACACAUUAAUGACAGUUGUAGGAAAAUAAUGGAUGUAGGGAUGGAGGAAGAAGCAACAGACUAACUUACUGGGUCGCAGAUUAAAGGCAGACGUAGCAUUAUUGGGGUUGCAAACUAAAGGUCAGGCAACCAAAGUAAGGAUCAGAAUGAUAGACAACGACAAUGAAAACUUAUACUAAUAGUGACGAUGGAGUUGGCAGUGGCAAUUAGAAUUAUAUUAUUUUUAAGUUGUUCUAACUAAGAAAGAUCUGAUGAAAUCAUAAGAAUCAAAGUUUUAUUGGAAAAACCUGCGCCAAGAACUCUAACUACACAACUAGAUGCUUCCUGAAUAGAUUUAACAGUUCCUCCUUGUUUUCCAAUCAAACUUCCAGCUUGUGAGGCUGGCACCAGCAACCUUGUUGAAACCUUGGUUCCUGUGCCUGAGGGAACAUGAGAAGAAUCACUGUCCAAUCCGUCGACAAUUCGUUUAUGAACCCUCAAAAGCCCAUCCAUGGCAGGAGGAAGAGAAGAAUCAGGUUCCUCCUUGGCAGAUACCAUAACAGCUCUUUCUGUUGUCCCAGGAGGACCAUCAAGUAUCUUAAUGCGAGCUCUUGUCUCCUCAACAAUUUUUUUAAUGAACUCCCCUUUGCGUCCAAUUAUACUGCCAACUUUUUGUGCAGGAACCAACAUCCGGAACACACUCUCUCCAGGCCAUCCAGGCCACUUCUUUUCACCACCUCCCGCAACUGUAUCCUCAUCAUGUCCUUGUUUUUCUUGAGCAUGAAAAUUCUCAGGCACCUGAUCUUCUGCAUGGUCUAUAUUAUGUUCUACAGCAUGAUCCACAUUCUGAUCUAUAGCAUGAUCAACAUUAUGCUCACCCAAACCAUCUGUAGCAAGAUCCAAGCCCUGAUCAACAGCAUGCUCCAAGCUCUGAUCAACAGGAUGAUUCACACCAUGAUCAACGGCAUGAUCCAGGCCGUGAUCUACACCAGGAUCCACAGCAUGAUCCAAGCCAUGAUCUACAGAAACAUCCAAUCCAGGAACUGCCGCUUGAUCCACAUUAUGCUCGACAAUGGUUUGAUCUACUUCUGCCAUGACUGUGGCUUUGGACAAAACAAACACAUACAAAAUACAAACUACCUCAAUUAUAUUAUUCUAAAAACAUGAAAUAGAAUCAUCAUAUUAAUUAAUUCAAAGCCAUGCGAUUUUUCUUUGAAAUUAAAACAGGAACAAAGAACCCUCGCACCAAGCGCAAAUGUAACCAUCACAUUUCCCAUCAAAACACCACAAAAAAACUAAUGCUCUAACCAUAAAACUCAUUCAAAGUUCAAACUUACAUCAUUUCAGUGGGAAUCGAAGAAAUUAAGUGUGUAUUGAACUAGAAGGCGUUUUAACACCAAGCUUCCUCACUUAGAAUCCUUCACAUUACUUAAGAAGCAAGAGACAAAUGUUUAAUGGAAGUCUAAAGCCUCUAUUAUCAGUAUGUAGUCACCUAAACCUCAAUCAUUCACCUGAGUAUGGCUCAGUUGGACUAUGUAAUUUUCAUGCAUAGUCUGUAACUCUAAUACAUGGACAUAUAAUAAAUAAUAAUAAGAACAUGCUUAGUCUACACCUCUUAUACAUGGCCAUAAUGAUAAAUAAUAAGAACAAGCUUUUCUUCGUUAAAGUAGAAGAAAACUGGCCAUGAGUCCUGCAACUAAUAUGGCAUCAAGAAAACACCUCAACCCAAUAACUUUUCAAUUGAAUUUGAAGCUCAGCAAAUUCAGCAAUAACUAAUAUACUAAAAACAAUGAGGAGGUCCAGGAGGAAUAAAGUGGUUCAGGGCACCAUGAAUAUCUAAUUAGUUUAUAAUAUGCCAAAUACAAUAAAUUAAAAAAAAAGAAAAUG